GAUGAACGCUGGCGGCGUGCCUAAUACAUGCAAGUCGAGCGAACAGACGAGGAGCUUGCUCCUCUGACGUUAGCGGCGGACGGGUGAGUAACACGUGGAUAACCUACCUAUAAGACUGGGAUAACUUCGGGAAACCGGAGCUAAUACCGGAUAAUAUAUUGAACCGCAUGGUUCAAUAGUGAAAGACGGUUUUGCUGUCACUUAUAGAUGGAUCCGCGCCGCAUUAGCUAGUUGGUAAGGUAACGGCUUACCAAGGCAACGAUGCGUAGCCGACCUGAGAGGGUGAUCGGCCACACUGGAACUGAGACAUGGUCCAGACUCCUACGGGAGGCAGCAGUAGGGAAUCUUCCGCAAUGGGCGAAAGCCUGACGGAGCAACGCCGCGUGAGUGAUGAAGGUCUUCGGAUCGUAAAACUCUGUUAUUAGGGAAGAACAAAUGUGUAAGUAACUAUGCACGUCUUGACGGUACCUAAUCAGAAAGCCACGGCUAACUACGUG
Molecule: ribosomal RNA, 497 nt
Filed under: uncultured bacterium
Lineage: Bacteria
Description: partial 16S ribosomal RNA
Rfam family: Bacterial small subunit ribosomal RNA
Source: RNAcentral